AUUUAAAUAGUUUAAUUUUAAAACAUUGAUUUGUGGAAUCAAAAAUAUAAUGAUUUAUUUUAAAUA
Molecule: transfer RNA, 66 nt
Filed under: Hymaea magna
Lineage: Eukaryota; Metazoa; Arthropoda; Insecta; Coleoptera; Phloeostichidae
Description: tRNA-His
Source: RNAcentral